AGAGUUUGAUCCUGGCUCAGGACGAACGCUGGCGGCGUGCCUAAUACAUGCAAGUCGAGCGGAUGACAGAGGAGCUUGCUCCUCUCGAUUCAGCGGCGGACGGGUGAGUAACACGUGGGCAACCUGCCCUGUAGAUUGGGAUAACUCCGGGAAACCGGGGCUAAUACCGAAUAAUCCUUCGGACCUCAUGGUCCGAUGUUGAAAGGCGGCUUCGGCUGUCACUACAGGAUGGGCCCGCGGCGCAUUAGCUAGUUGGUGAGGUAACGGCUCACCAAGGCCACGAUGCGUAGCCGACCUGAGAGGGUGAUCGGCCACACUGGGACUGAGACACGGCCCAGACUCCUACGGGAGGCAGCAGUAGGGAAUCUUCCACAAUGGACGAAAGUCUGAUGGAGCAACGCCGCGUGAGUGAAGAAGGUUCUCGGAUCGUAAAACUCUGUUGUGAGGGAAGAACAAGUACCGGAGUAACUGCCGGUACCUUGACGGUACCUCAUUAGAAAGCCACGGCUAACUACGUGCCAGCAGCCGCGGUAA
Molecule: ribosomal RNA, 534 nt
Filed under: uncultured bacterium
Lineage: Bacteria
Description: bacterial SSU rRNA
Rfam family: Bacterial small subunit ribosomal RNA
Source: RNAcentral